AGCGUAGGCGGAUAGUUCAGUCAGAGGUGAAAGCCCAGGGCUCAACCUUGGAACUGCCUUUGAUACUGGCUAUCUUGAGUUUGGGAGAGGUAUGUGGAACUCCGAGUGUAGAGGUGAAAUUCGUAGAUAUUCGGAAGAACACCAGUGGCGAAGGCGACAUACUGGCCCAAUACUGACGCUGAGGCUCGAAAGCGUGGGGAGCAAACAGGAUUAGAUACCCUGGUAGUCCACGCUGUAAACGAUGAGUGCUAGUUGUCGGCAUGCAUGCAUGUCGGUGACGCAGCUAACGCAUUAAGCACUCCGCCUGGGGAGUACGGUCGCAAGAUUAAA
RNAcentral lists this ribosomal RNA (330 nucleotides) under uncultured Caulobacter sp. RNAcentral describes it as "bacterial SSU rRNA". It matches the Rfam family "Bacterial small subunit ribosomal RNA", at positions 568 to 898 of the family's 1533-position model. The record is from RNAcentral. Lineage: Bacteria; Pseudomonadati; Pseudomonadota; Alphaproteobacteria; Caulobacterales; Caulobacteraceae.